GGUUUCUAAGUCUAAGUUAGUUAAAUGGUUUCACAGUGUUAGAUAUUAUUUUGUUAGGGACUUUGAAUAUUAGUUAAAGUUUGUCAUGAUUUUAGUUAGUUGGAUUGUAAGUUGUUGGGGCAGUUAGUGAUUAUGUUAUGUGAAUGUUAGUUUAACUAGUGUCUUUGUUAGAAAUCAAUGUCAACCUCAGUUCAAAUGGUGGUUUGCUAUAGUUAGAAAAAUGAAAUGUG
This 230-nucleotide long non-coding RNA is filed under the name Lathyrus oleraceus (garden pea). RNAcentral's name for it is "Pisum sativum (pea) long non-coding RNA (PSAT_LNC002271)". The record is from RNAcentral. Lineage: Eukaryota; Viridiplantae; Streptophyta; Magnoliopsida; Fabales; Fabaceae.